This is an RNA transcript of Papaver somniferum (opium poppy), 1157 nucleotides long. RefSeq lists it as uncharacterized. The record is from RefSeq and is a predicted model, not a curated record. NCBI's taxonomy places the organism in Eukaryota, Viridiplantae, Streptophyta, Magnoliopsida, Ranunculales, Papaveraceae. The transcript has 5 exons.
UUCCACAAUCUAAUUUUUUUUGGCAGAAAAUUAAGGUUUAUUAGUGAAGUUUUGGAAACAUCUUUGCAUCGCCGUAGGAUGUAAAGAAGAAUAUAUUUAGAAGAAAUGGAAGAAGAACAUCUAGCGGAAAUAAUCUCGGUCAAAAAAAAAUUCGAUUUGAACCCUAACAAUUUUUUUUUGAGCGGGAUGAAAAUCACACGAAAAUCAUUUUGGGCGGGGAUUAUUCCCGCUUGGUGUUUUGGAUUAGCUAUAAAGUUAAACCCUAAAAUCAACUAAGAGAUGUUAAAAGAUUUAUCUUUUGGGGGAUUAUCAGAGAUCAAAAACAGCGAGGUAUAUCUUUUUUAUGCUUAUCUACAGGAAAAAGAAAGUCCCACUGGUGAGAUAUAUAGGCCAGACGUGUUUUUGAAGACACAUAAAGUCACCCCAGAUGAUAAUACGUCAUCUUCUAAAUCAAUGGCAGCUGCAAAAUUAGCAUUGGUGAAGGAGGAAUAUGAUAAAGAUCCUUCAGCACAGAAGUGUUUGGGAACCGACGCUGUUACCAAGAUAUUUGGCACUGUUCGAAAGGGAUACAUACACUGAAUGGGUGCUGGUGUUUCUAAAUCUCAGUUUCUUCCUUCUGAAUUUAUGGAAGCCAGGUUGCAAGAAGAGAAGCACAAUGUGCGGAAAGAGAAUCAGAAAAACGAAGCUUUGAAAAACACAGUUGGAUGCUGAAAGACAGGAAAACAACACUGGAAUACAUGAUCAGAUCUCUAAUAGCUCUUGUCAGCAGAAUAUUGGGGUCCUAGCACCACCUUCAUCGUUUGGUCUAUGUUGUUUGAGGAACUUAAGGAAAAAGCCGGUCGCACUUGCAUAUGUUGACACUAAGCUGGCGAUUGAUGAUGAUCAUGACUGCAUGCUUGUGGAAAUCAUUGAGCCAAGUGCAAUGUUGUGCGGCAGAGAUGAUGUUGUACUUCGGGAUGUUCCCAUUGGUAAUUUAAUGAGGUGGCCAAAGGCCUAUGUGACUCUCUUAGGAGAGUGAUCAAGUUAGAGCGGCAGUGACAGUAGGAUUGAUUACUUUUUUGAUUUUCAGUAACUUGGAGUUGUUAGGAUGUCUUCCUAUUUAUAUUCGAAUAUUCUAUUUUCUUCUAAAAAAUAAUUAAUAAAGUCAAUUUGUUUAA